GACGAACGCUGGCGGCGUGCCUAAUACAUGCAAGUAGAACGCUGAAGGAGGAGCUUGCCCUUCUGGAUGAGUUGCGAACGGGUGAGUAACGCGUAGGUAACCUGCCUGGUAGCGGGGGAUAACUAUUGGAAACGAUAGCUAAUACCGCAUAACAGUAGAUGUUGCAUGACAUUUACUUAAAAGGUGCAAUUGCAUCACUACCAGAUGGACCUGCGUUGUAUUAGCUAGUUGGUGGGGUAACGGCUCACCAAGGCGACGAUACAUAGCCGACCUGAGAGGGUGAUCGGCCACACUGGGACUGAGACACGGCCCAGACUCCUACGGGAGGCAGCAGUAGGGAAGCUUCGGCAAUGGACGGAAGUCUGACCGAGCAACGCCGCGUGAGUGAAGAAGGUUUUCGGAUCGUAAAGCUCUGUUGUAAGAGAAGAACGAGUGUGAGAGUGGAAAGUUCACACUGUGACGGUAUCUUACCAGAAAGGGACGGCUAACUACGUG
This 495-nucleotide ribosomal RNA is filed under the name uncultured bacterium. Its description in RNAcentral is "partial 16S ribosomal RNA". It matches the Rfam family "Bacterial small subunit ribosomal RNA", at positions 28 to 507 of the family's 1533-position model. The record is from RNAcentral.